RNAcentral lists this ribosomal RNA (437 nucleotides) under uncultured bacterium. RNAcentral describes it as "bacterial SSU rRNA". It matches the Rfam family "Bacterial small subunit ribosomal RNA", at positions 29 to 507 of the family's 1533-position model. The record is from RNAcentral.
AACGAACGCUGGCGGCAGGCUUAACACAUGCAAGUCGAACGCUCGUAGCAAUACGGGAGUGGCGGACGGGUGAGUAACGCGUGGGAACGUGCCCUGAGGUACGGAAUAACUGCGGGAAACUGCAGCUAAUACCGUAUGAGCCCCGCAAGGGGGAAAGAUUUAUCGCCUUGGGAGCGGCCCGCGUCGGAUUAGCUAGUUGGUGGGGUAACGGCCUACCAAGGCUUCGAUCCGUAGCUGGUCUGAGAGGACGAUCAGCCACACUGGGACUGAGACACGGCCCAGACUCCUACGGGAGGCAGCAGUGGGGAAUCUUGCGCAAUGGGGGCAACCCUGACGCAGCCAUGCCGCGUGAAUGAUGAAGGCCUUAGGGUUGUAAAGUUCUUUUGCCCGUGACGAUGAUGACGGUAACGGGAGAAUAAGCUCCGGCUAACUUCGUG